This 349-nucleotide ribosomal RNA is filed under the name uncultured bacterium. RNAcentral describes it as "bacterial SSU rRNA". It matches the Rfam family "Bacterial small subunit ribosomal RNA", at positions 71 to 422 of the family's 1533-position model. The record is from RNAcentral.
CAGGUGUAGCAAUACAUGCUGACGAGCGGCGAACGGGUGAGUAAUGCUUUGGAAUCUUCCCAGUAGUGGGGAAUAACCAGUCGAAAGAUUGGCUAAUACCGCAUACGUCCGAAAGGGGAAAGCGGGGGAUCGUAAGACCUCGCGCUAUUGGAUGAGCCAAAGUCGGAUUAGCUAGUUGGUGGGGUAAUGGCCUACCAAGGCGACAAUCCGUAGCUGGUCUGAGAGGACGACCAGCCACACCGGAACUGAGACACGGUCCGGACUCCUACGGGAGGCAGCAGUGGGGAAUAUUGGACAAUGGGGGAAACCCUGAUCCAGCGACGCCGCGUGUGUGAAGAAGGCCUGCGGG